GUCCACGCUGUAAACGAUGUGCACUAGGCGUGGGGCCCGUACGGGUUCUGUGCCGUAGCUAACGUGAUAAGUGCACCGCCUGGGGAGUAUGCUCGCAAGGGUGAAACUCAAAGGAAUUGACGGGGGCCCGCACAAGCGGUGGAGCAUGUGGUUUAAUUCGAUGGUACACGAGGAACCUUACCAGGGCUUGACAUGUGCGUGAAUGUUCACGAGAGUGGGCAGCCCCGCAAGGGGCGCGCACACAGGUGCUGCAUGGCUGUCGU
RNAcentral lists this ribosomal RNA (263 nucleotides) under uncultured bacterium. RNAcentral's name for it is "partial 16S ribosomal RNA". It matches the Rfam family "Bacterial small subunit ribosomal RNA", at positions 793 to 1055 of the family's 1533-position model. The record is from RNAcentral.